UUUCUUCUUCUUCUUCGUCUUCUUCCUCCGA
RNAcentral lists this small RNA (31 nucleotides) under Arabidopsis thaliana (thale cress). RNAcentral's name for it is "ATSL134370". Lineage: Eukaryota; Viridiplantae; Streptophyta; Magnoliopsida; Brassicales; Brassicaceae. The record is from RNAcentral.